Molecule: non-coding RNA, 91 nt
Organism: Dendrothele bispora CBS 962.96
Lineage: Eukaryota; Fungi; Basidiomycota; Agaricomycetes; Agaricales
Source: the annotation of a GenBank genome assembly
GCAUUAAUGGGGUAGUGGUAACCUGGGUCGUUGCCACGUGACUGCUCGAAAACUGCUCGACCCGCCGGGGGUUCGAUUCCCUCUUAAUGCA